Dermacentor albipictus is the source of this 678-nucleotide non-coding RNA. NCBI's taxonomy places the organism in Eukaryota, Metazoa, Arthropoda, Arachnida, Ixodida, Ixodidae. The record is from RefSeq and is a predicted model, not a curated record.
AGCAGCUGCUAACUUUGCAGUUUGUAUUUGUGUUUUAAAAAUCAGUGCCGCAGAAGCAUGUUAGAUCAGACGCUUUUUGCAGCCAUAUUGCUUCUUACAUCAGUGACAUCCAUGACGUUGAAUUGUGUUUCCAAAUGCGCACCGCAUACCAUCAAAAAAGUGGAUUUCAGAAAGUUUGUAGGUACAAGGGAGCUUAUAUGGACUUGGAAUACAACCACAAAGGAGCGUGUUUCAUGUAACGUGGACCAGAUGAAAAUUCUCACACAAAGAUCUAUACUCUUCACACGAACAUCUUACACUAACACCGAACUGCGUCCAAUUGUAAAGAACUACAUGGGAAUAUUUCCAAAGCAAGACCAAAACGUGAUGCAACUCCAUAAAUCAGGUCGCCCACUCUAUUAUGACCUCCGUGUUUGGAAUUCCGUAGUUCAACAAGGCCCUCACGAAAAAUGUGUUGCACGAUUCGCGAAACGCGCACAAAGUGGACACGUCAUUUAUGAUUCGGCGUGUCAGGCCAUUCUGCACUAUAAAUUUCGUUAAAUUUAAGAGAGAGAAAGCAUGAAGAACAGAGAGAAGACGGCCAUUUCAUACACUUUGUUGAUGUAGUGUUUUCAAGGUAUACGACAAUAAAACGAAGACCACCGCACCACUGCUAUAUUGGAAAAAAUAAAAGUGGGC